RNAcentral lists this ribosomal RNA (606 nucleotides) under uncultured bacterium. Its description in RNAcentral is "bacterial SSU rRNA". It matches the Rfam family "Bacterial small subunit ribosomal RNA", at positions 244 to 850 of the family's 1533-position model. The record is from RNAcentral.
GCUGGAUGGUGGGGUAACGGCUCACCAUGGCGAUGAUGUCUAGGGGUUCUGAGAGGAAGACCCCCCACACUGGGACUGAGACACGGCCCAGACUCCUACGGGAGGCAGCAGUGAGGAAUAUUGGACAAUGGAUGGAAAUCUGAUCCAGCCAUGCCGCGUGCAGGAAGACGGCCCUAUGGGUUGUAAACUGCUUUUAUAUGGGAGCAAUAAGGUUUACGCGUAGACCGAUGAGAGUACCAUAUGAAUAAGCAUCGGCUAACUCCGUGCCAGCAGCCGCGGUAAUACGGAGGAUGCGAGCGUUAUCCGGAUUUAUUGGGUUUAAAGGGUGCGUAGGCGGCCUUGUAAGUCAGCGGUGAAAUUUUGCAGCUUAACUGUAACAGUGCCGUUGAUACUGCGGGGCUAGGAUUUGGUUGCUGUGGGUGGAAUGUGUGGUGUAGCGGUGAAAUGCUUAGAUAUCACACAGAAUAUCGAUUGCGAAGGCAGCUCACAAAGCCAAGAUUGACGCUGAGGCACGAAAGUGUGGGGAUCAAACAGGAUUAGAUACCCUGGUAGUCCACACUGUAAACGAUGAUAACUCGCUGCCGGCGAUACACAGUCGGUAGCCAA